UACAGGGGGUGCAAACGUUGCUCGGAAUUACUGGGCGUAAAGGGCGCGUAGGCGGCCGCCUAAGUCAGACGUGAAAUCCCUCGGCUCAACCGGGGAACUGCGUCUGAUACUGGGUGGCUUGAAUCCGGGAGAGGGAUGCGGAAUUCCAGGUGUAGCGGUGAAAUGCGUAGAUAUCUGGAGGAACACCGGUGGCGAAGGCGGCAUCCUGGACCAACACUGACACUGAGGAGCGAAAGCCAGGGGAGCAAACGGG
RNAcentral lists this ribosomal RNA (253 nucleotides) under uncultured bacterium. Its description in RNAcentral is "partial 16S ribosomal RNA". It matches the Rfam family "Bacterial small subunit ribosomal RNA", at positions 524 to 776 of the family's 1533-position model. The record is from RNAcentral.